AUAAGCGGAGAAAAGAACCAACAGGGAUUGCCUUAGUAACGGCGAGUGAAGCGGCAAAAGCUCAAAUUUGAAAUCUGGCACCUUCGGUGUCCGAGUUGUAAUUUGAAGAAGGUAACUUUGGAGUUGGCUCUUGUCUAUGUUCCUUGGAACAGGACGUCACAGAGGGUGAGAAUCCCGUGCGAUGAGAUGCCCAACUCUAUGUAAAGUGCUUUCGAAGAGUCGAGUUGUUUGGGAAUGCAGCUCUAAGUGGGUGGUAAAUUCCAUCUAAAGCUAAAUAUUGGCGAGAGACCGAUAGCGAACAAGUACAGUGAUGGAAAGAUGAAAAGAACUUUGAAAAGAGAGUGAAAAAGUACGUGAAAUUGUUGAAAGGGAAGGGCUUGAGAUCAGACUUGGUAUUUUGCGAUCCUUUCCUUCUUGGUUGGGUUCCUCGCAGCUUACUGGGCCAGCAUCGGUUUGGAUGGUAGGAUAAUGACUAAGGAAUGUGGCUCUACUUCGGUGGAGUGUUAUAGCCUUGGUUGAUACUGCCUGUCUAGACCGAGGACUGCGUCUUUACUAGGAUGUGG
RNAcentral lists this ribosomal RNA (563 nucleotides) under Debaryomyces hansenii. RNAcentral's name for it is "LSU rRNA". It matches the Rfam family "Eukaryotic large subunit ribosomal RNA", at positions 46 to 628 of the family's 3401-position model. Lineage: Eukaryota; Fungi; Ascomycota; Pichiomycetes; Serinales; Debaryomycetaceae. The record is from RNAcentral.